GGGGGAACUGAAACAUCUAAGUACCCCGAGGAAAAGAAAUCAACCGAGAUUCCCCCAGUAGCGGCGAGCGAACGGGGAGCAGCCCAGAGCCUGAAUCAGUGUGUGUGUUAGUGGAAGCGUCUGGAAAGGCGCGCGAUACAGGGUGACAGCCCCGUACACAAAAAUGCACAUGCUGUGAGCUCGAUGAGUAGGGCGGGACACGUGGUAUCCUGUCUGAAUAUGGGGGGACCAUCCUCCAAGGCUAAAUACUCCUGACUGACCGAUAGUGAACCAGUACCGUGAGGGAAAGGCGAAAAGAACCCCGGCGAGGGGAGUGAAAAAGAACCUGAAACCGUGUACGUACAAGCAGUGGGAGCACGCUUAGGCGUGUGACUGCGUACCUUUUGUAUAAUGGGUCAGCGACUUAUAUUCUGUAGCAAGGUUAACCGAAUAGGGGAGCCGAAGGGAAACCGAGUCUUAACUGGGCGUUAAGUUGCAGGGUAUAGACCCGAAACCCGGUGAUCUAGCCAUGGGCAGGUUGAAGGUUGGGUAACACUAACUGGAGGACCGAACCGACUAAUGUUGAAAAAUUAGCGGAUGACUUGUGGCUGGGGGUGAAAGGCCAAUCAAACCGGGAGAUAGCUGGUUCUCCCCGAAAGCUAUUUAGGUAGCGCCUCGUGAAUUCAUCUCCGGGGGUAG
Molecule: ribosomal RNA, 678 nt
Filed under: Escherichia coli
Lineage: Bacteria; Pseudomonadati; Pseudomonadota; Gammaproteobacteria; Enterobacterales; Enterobacteriaceae
Description: partial 23S ribosomal RNA
Rfam family: Bacterial large subunit ribosomal RNA
Source: RNAcentral